Long non-coding RNA from Orcinus orca (killer whale), 404 nucleotides. RefSeq lists it as uncharacterized. The record is from RefSeq and is a predicted model, not a curated record. NCBI's taxonomy places the organism in Eukaryota, Metazoa, Chordata, Mammalia, Artiodactyla, Delphinidae. The transcript has 2 exons.
GCGCUGCCGUGGGCCCCGCCCCCAGGCGAGCAACUGUCAAGGAGCCACCGUUUGAGGGGCGUUUUUGAGCCCACGGUCGGCGGAGCGGUGGUCGUCCACUUGGAGAGUGAGGCCUGGACCUCGGAGGGCGAAAGUCGUGCCUUGGGACCUUCCCCUUUUCUUGUCAGAACAGAGAGUAACAUUUGUUUUGGUGGAGAUUUACAGGAACAUCGUGACCCGACCAUGACCUGACCUCAAGGACAAAGGCUCUGACACCAAGAAGUGUGCACCAACUAACCACGCCCCUCCCUCACCUUCCCUAUAAAAGGGCUUUGCUGAUUGCUUUCAGGGAGUUUGGGGUUUUUUAAGGCGUGAGCCACCCAUCUCCUUGCAUGGCCCUGCAAUAAACCUUUCUGUGUUCCAGA